Molecule: non-coding RNA, 829 nt
Organism: Delphinapterus leucas (beluga whale)
Lineage: Eukaryota; Metazoa; Chordata; Mammalia; Artiodactyla; Monodontidae
Source: RefSeq, a predicted model, not a curated record
ACGAUAAAAGCAGUUGACAGAGACCUAUAAAUAUAGGUUCAGAAACCUGAACAUUUAGAUCUUAAAAGGAAAAGAUGCAAAGGCCGAAAGAAGAAUUGAAUUGGGGGACGGAAGGAAGGGUUUGGUAUUCUAGAGCAAGAGAAAAAACAGGAAAAGAUUUGCCUGCCAUUUGAAGAUGCUGGUACAGGCAUAACUUGUUUUAUUGCCCUUCACUUUAUUGUGCUUAAGAGCUAUCAUGUUUUUCACAAAUUGAAGGUUUGUGGCAACCCUGUAUCAAGAACGUCUGUGGGUACCAUUUUUCCAACAGCAUUUGCUUACUCAUGUCUCUGGAUCAUGCUGUGAAAAUGAAACCUCCUUAAAAAGUGUGAAGAUGGAGGGAUCUUAUAAAGCAAAGAGUGCUAUCAAACAGUGAGACUGAUCUCUGGAUGAUAAGGUGUAUGGUCAGGACACUCAAGGCGGCUGUUCUCUGGACAUCCCCUGCGCGACUAGACUAGUGUCUGCUUCACCUACACCCUACUCACCUGACUGACGUUCUUACAUACUUGCCCCAGGCUCCAGUUAAUGACUGUCCUAGCUUUAGAUCAGAACAUCUCCACUCCGAUAGCUUACCAAAGGGGCAGUGAGAAGCAGGCUGUCCCUCUGCUGGUUUCCCUGGUAACCAAUGAGCCGACCUGAUGUUAAUUCCCCCUAUAACUGGUGGCCCUGCCCCCGACCCCAGCAAAGCCUGCCACCAUGUUCUGCCCGCCACCUGCCACAGAUGGUGAGGUCCUGCUCCAGGACCUUGCUUCGGACAUGUAAGCUUCCUCAUCCAUUAAACCACUGCUGUCUC